RNAcentral lists this ribosomal RNA (253 nucleotides) under uncultured bacterium. Its description in RNAcentral is "partial 16S ribosomal RNA". It matches the Rfam family "Bacterial small subunit ribosomal RNA", at positions 524 to 776 of the family's 1533-position model. The record is from RNAcentral.
UACGUAGGGGGCAAGCGUUGUCCGGAUUUACUGGGCGUAAAGAGCGUGUAGGCGGCCACGCAGGUCCGUUGUGAAAACUGGAGGCUCAACUUCCAGCCGUCGACGGAAACCGUGUGGCUAGAGUCCGGAAGAGGAGAGUGGAAUUCCUGGUGUAGCGGUGAAAUGCGCAGAUAUCAGGAAGAACACCAAUGGCGAAGGCGGCUCUCUGGGACGUGACUGACGCUGAGACGCGAAAGCGUGGGGAGCAAACAGG